AUUGAACGCUGGCGGCAGGCCUAACACAUGCAAGUCGAGCGGAUGAAGGGAGCUUGCUCCUGGAUUCAGCGGCGGACGGGUGAGUAAUGCCUAGGAAUCUGCCUGGUAGUGGGGGAUAACGUCCGGAAACGGGCGCUAAUACCGCAUACGUCCUGAGGGAGAAAGUGGGGGAUCUUCGGACCUCACGCUAUCAGAUGAGCCUAGGUCGGAUUAGCUAGUUGGUGGGGUAAAGGCCUACCAAGGCGACGAUCCGUAACUGGUCUGAGAGGAUGAUCAGUCACACUGGAACUGAGACACGGUCCAGACUCCUACGGGAGGCAGCAGUGGGGAAUAUUGGACAAUGGGCGAAAGCCUGAUCCAGCCAUGCCGCGUGUGUGAAGAAGGUCUUCGGAUUGUAAAGCACUUUAAGUUGGGAGGAAGGGCAGUAAGUUAAUACCUUGCUGUUUUGACGUUACCAACAGAAUAAGCCCCGGCUAACUUCGUG
RNAcentral lists this ribosomal RNA (484 nucleotides) under uncultured bacterium. RNAcentral describes it as "partial 16S ribosomal RNA". It matches the Rfam family "Bacterial small subunit ribosomal RNA", at positions 30 to 507 of the family's 1533-position model. The record is from RNAcentral.